RNAcentral lists this unclassified non-coding RNA (2134 nucleotides) under Hevea brasiliensis (rubber tree). The record is from RNAcentral. Lineage: Eukaryota; Viridiplantae; Streptophyta; Magnoliopsida; Malpighiales; Euphorbiaceae.
GUGCAUACCGGUUCACAGGCCCAAGCUCGAGAAGCGUUCUUUCUCUUCUCACCCUUUCCCAGUCCUGGAUUCGCUCUGUAACGCUUACCCCCGAAUCUGGAUUCUCAAAGUUGAGGCCUGAAUGGGAUAAGAUAUUGUUGGAAGAGAAGCACAAAGCAAUGCCGUUCAACAGCCUUGCUGUUAUGUAAGCACCCACUUCUUCACUGUCUUGGGGUUUUCACAUUACACUUGGAUCUUCACUUUGCUCUAUCAUCAAAUGGCGAUUCAAUGGUUAUGAAUUUUGUUUUCACUCGCUGUUAUUGGUUUAGGCAAACGUGGGAAUUGUUAAAAGAAAUGAUGGGUCUCAUUUCAUGGUGAUGAAUUCGGUUUCAUAGUGUGUGCUUCAUUUGACUGCUAUUGGUGUGGGCGAAUGUGGGUAUUGUAAAAUGAAAUCAUGGGUCUCAAUUUUUUUAAGGAUGCAAUAGCUGUGUAUAGAACUUUUAGCACUAAAACUAGUAGAAUUAGCAAAACUACGAGACGUGCUCAAAGUGGUGGUAACAAGAACAAGAAGAAAAGCCGUGAAUCUAAAAUUAAAUGGACUGAGGAGCAGAAUGAUGUAUUGAAUCAUGUUCGCUGUGGCUUGUCCGUGUUUAUUACCGGCUCUGCAGGCACUGGAAAGUCAGUUUUGCUUAAGCGUAUUAUCGAUUUUUUGAAAAAGGUUCAUGGCUCAUCUGGGGUUUUUGUCACGGCCUCCACUGGAGUUGCUGCAUGUGCUCUUAAUGGGCGAACACUUCACUCUUUUGCUGGCAUUGGAAUUGGAAAUGAUGAUUAUGGAAAUUUACUAGAGAGGGUUUUAAUGAGUAGCCGUGCUUGCAAUAGAUGGAGAAAGGUGAAUGCAUUAAUUAUAGAUGAAAUUAGUGUGAUUUCUGCAAAUAUGUUUGAGAAUCUUGAAUCCAUUGCGAGAGAGAUGCGGGGAUCACAAGAGGUAUGGGGUGGAAUACAGCUUAUCGUUAGUGGAGAUUUCUUUCAGUUACCUCCAGUUUCUGAUAAAUGCAAUUCAUCCGGCAAAGAGUUUGCCUUUGAGGCUGACUGUUGGGAUGCAAGCUUUGACGUGCAAGUUGAACUCACAGAGGUUUUUAGGCAAUCAGAUGCUGAACAAAUCAAGUUACUUCAGCGUACAAGGAAAGGGAUGAUUUAUGCUGAAGACUUGCAGAUUUUAGAACAAUGUUGCUCCAGUAAUGAGCCUGAUUCUUCAGUUGUAAGUUUCUAUCCUAGGAAUGAGGAUGUAAAUAGAGUGAAUGGGGAGAGACUGAGAAGCUUGGGUGAGAAAGUUGUGGUUUAUAAAGCUGCUGAUGGUGGCCUAGAUAAUCAGAGAGCAGAACUCAAACAGGGUAUUGCACCUGACCAACUUGAGCUUUGUAAUGGUGCAAGGGUGAUGCUGAUCAAGAAUUUGAAUGUUUGGCGUAACCUUUGUAAUGGUGCUACGGGUACAGUCACAGGAUUUGUUGAGCCAGAGGAUAAAUACGUUCUACACCUAUCCCCUGAUAAACUGUUGCCUGUUGUCAAAUUUGAUUCAGGGCCGGAAAUGGUUGUUGAACCACAAGUAUGGGAGAUUUUAGAGGGAGGAUUAACAGUGGCUUGGAGAUCUCAAAUUCCUCUUCACUUAGCUUGGGCUCAAAGUGUACACAAAAGCCAGGGCAUGACCCUUGACCGCCUUCACACUGAUCUAUCUAGGUCAUUUGGCUAUGGAAUGGUGUAUGUGAUACUAUCCCGUGUGAGGACCUUGAAAGGCCUUUAUUUAUCAGGUUUCAAUCCAUCAAUGAUUAAGGCACACCCAAAGGUUUUACAUUUCUAUGAAAGUUUAGCUGGUGAAGAACAGUGCAAGGAAGACGAAAACAACAGCAAGAUUCUUGAUCAUUCAGAUAAAUCAAGCAUUGCAUUUGCAGGCAAAAAGUGCAAGUUCUCUCUUUCAGAAUUUUUGUUAUCACGCCAACAUGGGAAAUAGAAUUUGCUUGAUUGGGCUGUAACUUAGGUACUAUCCAGCACAUUCUUCAUUUGAGAUUCUUCUAUCAUUUGAGAUUCUUCUACUGAUUUCUUUUCCUUAUGACUCGUUUAGGGUCAGGAUUGGGAGGUUAAAAAAGUAUUUAAUUUUUUU